GGGGAAGUAUCCCAAUGCUAAUCUUCGGAUCAUUCUUCUUUCGUUUCUGCUGGCCCCUGGAGGGAAUUCUCUGGUUCUGAUGUAGACCAGGAUGUUAUGAUACCAAGGUUUACCGUCGAGUUCUUCCUCAAUCAUGAAGCAAUAUGCUGGCUCACUUCUUGCUUUAAUCUUCAAUAUCUGAAUCAUCUGACCCUCUUCGAUUUGAGCCAUAACAGCUAGAGUAGCUAAGGCAUCAGCAAAUUGAUUCUUGUCUCUACUAAGGUGAGUGAAAGAGACUUCUUCGAAUUUCUUGAUCAACUCCAGUAAGUACUUCUGAUAUGGGAUCAACUUGGGAUCCUUAGUUUGCCAUUCUCCCUUGACUUGAUAGAUUAUCAGAGCCGAGUCUCCGUAC
Molecule: unclassified non-coding RNA, 391 nt
Filed under: Hevea brasiliensis (rubber tree)
Lineage: Eukaryota; Viridiplantae; Streptophyta; Magnoliopsida; Malpighiales; Euphorbiaceae
Source: RNAcentral